UGCAUAUGAUGUUUAUUCUCACGAUGGUCUUCCAAGCUCAGGCUCUGACGACAGUGCCUAAUGGCAUUGCUGAUGCAUGUUA
This is a small nucleolar RNA of Boleophthalmus pectinirostris (great blue-spotted mudskipper), 82 nucleotides long. RefSeq annotates it as small nucleolar RNA SNORD35. The record is from RefSeq and is a predicted model, not a curated record. NCBI's taxonomy places the organism in Eukaryota, Metazoa, Chordata, Actinopteri, Gobiiformes, Gobiidae. The transcript has a single exon.